RNAcentral lists this ribosomal RNA (446 nucleotides) under uncultured bacterium. RNAcentral describes it as "partial 16S ribosomal RNA". It matches the Rfam family "Bacterial small subunit ribosomal RNA", at positions 338 to 795 of the family's 1533-position model. The record is from RNAcentral.
CCUACGGGUGACAGCAGUCGAGAAUCAUUCACAAUGGGGGAAACCCUGAUGGUGCGACGCCGCGUGGGGGAAUGAAGGUCUUCGGAUUGUAAACCCCUGUCAUGUGGGAGCAAAUUAAAAAGAUAGUACAAGAAGAGGAAGAGGCUGCUAACUCUGUUCCAGCAGCCGCGGUAAUACAGAGGUCUCAAGCGUUGUUCGGAAUCACUGGGCGGAAGGCGUGCGUAGGCUGUUUCGUAAGUCGUGUGUGAAAGGCGCGGGCUCAACCCGCGGACGGCACAUGAUACUGCGAGACUCGAGUAAUGGAGGGGGAACCGGAAUUCUCGGUGUAGCAGUGAAAGGCGUAGAUAUCGAGAGGAACACGAGUGGCGAAGGCGGGUUCCUGGACAUUAACUGACGCUGAGGCACGAAGGCCAGGGGAGCGAAAGGGAUUAGAUACCCGAGUAGUC